AUCGUGAGGUAUGGGAUGAAAGAAGAGAGUAGCAAAUAGACUGGGUAACGAAAAGAAACUUGAUAUAAGGCGAUUAACUAGUGAUGAAAUAGCUUAACAUAUUAAAAUCACAAACGACCGUAAUAGUUAAUCAGUAAAUCAAGUACUCAAGGCUAGAAAGAUAU
This 164-nucleotide non-coding RNA is filed under the name human gut metagenome. The record is from RNAcentral.